CCGGGCCGUGGAGCUUCUCUGGGAGGCUCAGCACCCAUUUUUGAGCCCCUGGCUUCCCAGCUGGGGGUGGAGGGUGGGGAAGUGACCCAAGCUCCCACACGGACUGCACGGCAACCUGAAGACGCCUUUGGAAAGCUCCAGUCCUGGAGGUGGGACUCGUAGACCCAUUUGACAGAUGAGGAAACCCAGGUUCAAAAAGGCAAAGUGACUUUUUCCAGCCAAGGAAAUUAUGAAAUUGGAGAAAUGCACCAAGAAAAUUAAAAUCACCUGUAUCCUUGCCACCCAGAAAAAGACACAUAAAUAUGUUUUGUUUACGCUCUCCUGAUGUUUAGACAGAUAAGCAGUUAGAUCUGAGAAAGAGAGAUGACCUUACAGACGCACGCACUGAUGGAUAGACAUUUUUAAAACCAGAGCUGAGAGAAGAGAGCAGAUUCUGUUUUGCAGAGUUUUUUGUUCAAUUAACAUGGAUGAUGCAGUUCUGAUGGCCACUUCCUGUGGGGGCUCAAGGAGGUGAAAUGACUCGUCUGUGCUUACACAGCCUUAAGAGGCAGCCUUAUGAAAAGACAGCAAAGGCAACAAAUUAUCUCCCCAACUUGCGGCUUUGUUGCAAAGGCCUCUGGGAAGCUCUUUUCUACAUGCCUCGCUGUUGAGCUGACCACAUCCUGCAACUCUGCAGGCACAGCUAGACCUGAGGCAGCCAGGGUCAAGUCCUCAAGUUUGCUUCUCAUUGGAACACGCGGUCUGGCUCAGCGACCAGGAGAGAACGGGUCAGGGCCACUGUAACUGUUACCAGGUUGACCCGAAGUGGGAGGAAUUUCCUGAGCAUCUUCUCGCUUGCUGUCUCACCUGAUCCUCCCUGGAGCACCACCAGGUGGGCAUCCUUGUGCCAAUUUACAGACAAAGAAGGCAAGAGAUUGCACAGCUCUCUUGAUGACCCCAAAGUGGCCUUUCUUCCUCCUACAAGCAUCUUGACGGCUGAAUUGUUGCUGCUUAUUGCCUCGAACAGUUGAGAACGUUCUAAAUGGAAAUGGUGUGAAUGCGACAAAGAGGGCUUGGGGCCCAUCCCCACAUGGCUUCCAAACUUGCUGCACUGCAGAGGUGUGGGGACAUCUUCCAGGGCAAAGAGCUUUGAACUUGGGCCGGGUUGCUGGCCUGGCAGGGUGUAUAUUGGGCAGAUCACUCCAAACUGUGGUUUUUCUGCCUAUGGCAUUGGGCUGAUGGGGAACUAGUGAGAAAAAGCAUGUGGUGUGCUCAGCCCAACACCAGCCACACAGGGCAGAUUUCUGCUUUUCAUUAUUACUAGGAGUAGGAGUCCAGCCUCACUUCUUCCUCUCUGGCUGGUGGCCCCUGGGAUCCAAUCAGACUACAGCUGUCUCAGAGUAUUUCAUGCAAGUGAGGGCUUUUAGUCCAACCUCACUGGGAGGUGGCAUGGAAAUAGGUAGAUCGGAGUGGCCUACACUGUGUGGACUCCAGUGGAUGGGACAUGUGAUCCUCUCUGCAUAUCACCCUGGGUGAUAGGAGCUGGAGGUCCUGGGAUGUAUGGCUCUAGAGGGAGGUUCUUGCCAAUGGGCUGAACUGGUCCCUGGAUGGAGACAUCUCAUCCCUGGGGGUCAUUCCGCAGAAGCAGGCUGGUGGUUGUCACUUCUACAGCCCCGCCAUGUGAUGUGUGUGUGUGCGCAUGUGCACAUGCAGAUACGCACACACAGGUAGAAGAGAGGCGGAGUCUGCAGGACCCCAUGGCUGCCUCUCACCAUGAAUCUGGAGUUGAUUGUUUCUUCUCCCAUCUCUUUCCUUCCUUUUUUUCUUGCCUUUAGCCUGUGCACAACUGAUACCCUUUCCACAUGAAACAUCACAAAAAAAUUAAACUAAAACAUGGCUUAAUUUCAAUCUGGCUGGAAAAAGACAACUGAUUAGGCAGGGAUCUGACCCGCCUGUGUGCAGAGCUCAGAGGGCUAAGACCUGGGAGCCACCCAAUCCCUGCAGACGGCAGUGAGGAAACAGAGGCACACAGAGGGUAAGGGGAUCGCUGACAGUCUCAUAGCUUGUUAGCAGCAUAGACGGGAUCUGAACUCAGAAUUCUUUGAGAGUGUUUCUUUUUUUUCUGAAAAAAUAUUACAGUCACUUUACAUUCCUAAAACCCCAAAUUAACCAUUUGCCAUUUUUUCCAUAUUUGUUUCAGUUCCUUUCCUAGGAGUAUAGCUGAAAGAGUCUGCCAGCAGACACUUUAAAAACUAUUAGAACUGUUUAGAUAAAUCUCCAGCUGUCUCCCAUGACCACUACUCCCAUCCUGGUCCAUUCCCUUUUCCACAAAAGUAGCCAUUAUUAUAAGUUUGAGGUCCUUCCUUCCAAGCCACAAAAAUUACACACACACACACACACACACACACACAAUAUGUAGUAUUGUUUUUGUGACUAAGCCUUUCUUUACAUAUUUACAUAAAUAGUAUCUUGUACCAUAUUGUACAGGACCAUCAGGAACCCAUUUUUAUUUCCCUUCGUGGUGUGUUUUGGGGGAUCUGUUCUUGUUGAUGGAGGUUGAUCAUUUUCCUGUGGCUAAGAAGACUCCUUUGCACUCUCCUGUCACUUCUUAAUUGCCCACACACUCAUGGAUUAUGAUCAAGCUGCAUGGCUUGCCUUUCCAUGAAUUUCUGAGCAAUGAACUAGAAACCAGAAGGACUCUUUGUGGCUUGUUUCUGCCCAGGACUUGAAAUUACAGGAGGACCCUGUGUGAGUCAUGUUACCAUUCUGUGCCUCACAUGUCUUAUCUGUUGAAGACAACUUGCCAAAGAAUUGUGUGGAUAAAUGUGAAGUUCUACCACAGCCUCGGCUGUCCCCACACUUAAGGGUAUAAGGAUGAAAACUCUUGUGUCCAUUAUGGGGUUUGUUUGGGAUGGAAUAACUCCCCCCUGUCCCCUCUUAUGUUGCUCUCUUUAUGUGUAUAACUUUUGUCAUGGCAAUGCUGUGCUUUCUGUGACAGCUCAGGAUAUAGUGGGUCUACAAUGGGAAAGUCACCCAAGGAGUGGAGAAGGAGGGGUCCCUCUUGAAGGGUGAGGUCAUUCUCAGUCU
Long non-coding RNA from Mesoplodon densirostris (Blainville's beaked whale), 3066 nucleotides. RefSeq lists it as uncharacterized. The transcript has 4 exons. NCBI's taxonomy places the organism in Eukaryota, Metazoa, Chordata, Mammalia, Artiodactyla, Ziphiidae. The record is from RefSeq and is a predicted model, not a curated record.